AUUGAACGCUGGCGGCAUGCCUUACACAUGCAAGUCGAACGGUAACGGGCCUUCGGGUGCCGACGAGUGGCGAACGGGUGAGUAAUACAUCGGAACGUGCCCGAUCGUGGGGGAUAACGAGGCGGAAGCUUUGCUAAUACCGCAUACGAUCUACGGAUGAAAGCAGGGGACCGCAAGGCCUUGCGCGGACGGAGCGGCCGAUGGCAGAUUAGGUAGUUGGUGGGAUAAAAGCUUACCAAGCCGACGAUCUGUAGCUGGUCUGAGAGGAUGAUCAGCCACACUGGGACUGAGACACGGCCCAGACUCCUACGGGAGGCAGCAGUGGGGAAUUUUGGACAAUGGGCGCAAGCCUGAUCCAGCCAUGCCGCGUGCAGGAUGAAGGCCUUCGGGUUGUAAACUGCUUUUGUACGGAACGAAAAGCCUUCUUUUAAUACAGGAGGGUCAUGACGGUACCGUAAGAAUAGGCACCGGCUAACUACGUG
RNAcentral lists this ribosomal RNA (482 nucleotides) under uncultured bacterium. Its description in RNAcentral is "partial 16S ribosomal RNA". It matches the Rfam family "Bacterial small subunit ribosomal RNA", at positions 30 to 507 of the family's 1533-position model. The record is from RNAcentral.